GUAAGUAUAGUUUAACCAAAACAUCAGAUUGUGAUUCUAAAAAUAGAGGUUAAAAUCCUUUUACUCACC
RNAcentral lists this transfer RNA (69 nucleotides) under Triplophysa nasobarbatula. RNAcentral's name for it is "tRNA-His". It matches the Rfam family "tRNA". Rfam says of the family: Transfer RNA (tRNA) molecules are approximately 80 nucleotides in length. Their secondary structure includes four short double-helical elements and three loops (D, anti-codon, and T loops). RNAcentral also lists the same sequence under 5 other names. The record is from RNAcentral. Lineage: Eukaryota; Metazoa; Chordata; Actinopteri; Cypriniformes; Nemacheilidae.